AGAGAAGAGAGAGAUUUUGUUUACGGAUUUUUGAGUAGAAUACGAUUGUGAAGUGUAUAAGAAAAGAAGGUUUGUAUGAAGAAUUACGGUGUGGAGAUAUCUAUAAUAUCCGUCUUUCUUCUCUUUUAUUGUUUUAUUGUCGUUCUUUGUUCUAUUCGGGGCAACACGGGUUGUGCUCUAUGAAAAUAAAAUUUCAAUUUUCU
Molecule: long non-coding RNA, 203 nt
Filed under: Nicotiana benthamiana
Lineage: Eukaryota; Viridiplantae; Streptophyta; Magnoliopsida; Solanales; Solanaceae
Description: long non-coding RNA (NBEN_LNC041159)
Source: RNAcentral